AUACGUAGGGGGCAAGCGUUAUCCGGAAUUACUGGGCGUGAAGGGUGCGUAGGUGGCCUGACAAGUCAGGGGUCAAAGGCAACGGCUCAACCGUUGUAAGCCCUUGAAACUGUCGGGCUUGAGUUCAGGAGAGGAAAGCGGAAUUCCUAGUGUAGCGGUGAAAUGCGUGGAUAUUAGGAGGAACACCAGUGGCGAAGGCGGCUUUCUGGACUGAUACUGACACUGAGGCACGAAAGCGUGGGGAGCAAAUAGGAUUAGAUACCCUGGUAGUCCACGCCGUAAACGAUGAGUACUAGGUGUCGGCCCUAAGGGUCGGUGCCGCAGUUAACACAUUAAGUACUCCGCCUGGGAAGUACGCUCGCAAGAGUGAAACUCAAAGGAAUUGACGGGG
This 391-nucleotide ribosomal RNA is filed under the name uncultured bacterium. RNAcentral describes it as "partial 16S ribosomal RNA". It matches the Rfam family "Bacterial small subunit ribosomal RNA", at positions 523 to 918 of the family's 1533-position model. The record is from RNAcentral.